AUCGUACUCCAGCCUGGGCAAUAAAGUAAGACCCUAUCUCAUAAAAAACAAAAAAACAAAAAACAAAAAAAAAAGAAGAAGAAAGAGAGAUAGAUUAGCAUUUGAAUGGGUGGACUGAGUAAAGCAGAUGGCCCCUCGUCAGUGUGGGUGGGAAUUGUCCUAUCCAUUGAGGGCUUAAAUGAAACAAAGACUGAGGAAGGUUGAAUUCAAUCUCUGCCUGACUGCUGGGGCUGAGACAUCAAUCUUCUCCUGCUCUCAGUGCUCUUCCAGACUCAGACUGGAAUGUACACUAUCAGCUCUCCAGUUCUCAGGCCUUCAAAUUACACCUCUGGCUUUCCUGAGUCUCCAGCUUGCAGAUGGCAGAUCGUGGGACUUCAUGGGACUUCUCAGACUCCAUAACCAAGCAAGCCAUUUUACUUACUUUGGACUCAUUUUCUUAAUCCAAAAAUGGAAGUAAGGCUUGUCAUCUGUCUUAUUCAUAGUCACAGGGCUGAGGAGCUACAGUCUAAAUGCAUAUGCAUGUUUGGAACCGAAGUCAGCCAUCUUCCCUAGGACAAAUCUUUACUCUUCUAAAGAAGGACAAGAAUAAGGAUUUGAAUGACUUUCAUCAUAAUGAAGGCUUCUGCAGAGUAAUUGAUUUUGACCAUGAGUACCUGUUGGAGUCACAGCAACUUUUCCUUCUAGAUUAUCUUACAG
Molecule: non-coding RNA, 696 nt
Filed under: Pongo abelii (Sumatran orangutan)
Lineage: Eukaryota; Metazoa; Chordata; Mammalia; Primates; Hominidae
Source: RNAcentral